RNAcentral lists this transfer RNA (69 nucleotides) under Guibemantis liber. RNAcentral's name for it is "tRNA-Met". It matches the Rfam family "tRNA". From Rfam's summary of the family: Transfer RNA (tRNA) molecules are approximately 80 nucleotides in length. Their secondary structure includes four short double-helical elements and three loops (D, anti-codon, and T loops). The record is from RNAcentral. Lineage: Eukaryota; Metazoa; Chordata; Amphibia; Anura; Mantellidae.
AGUAGGGUCGGCUAAUAAAGCUCUUGGGCCCAUACCCCAACAAUGUUGGUUAAAAUCCUUCCCCUACUA